This is a long non-coding RNA of Heterocephalus glaber (naked mole-rat), 3836 nucleotides long. The record is from Ensembl. Lineage: Eukaryota; Metazoa; Chordata; Mammalia; Rodentia; Bathyergidae.
GUUUGAAGGAUCCAAUAGAAAGUAAUUCCUAGAAAUUAAGACCCCACCCCAAAUUUAUCUAGGGGAAGUUCUGUCCUGUGAGCACAUGGCUGCUGUUGCUACAUGAGAUUCGGGGAAGAGGAUGGCUGUCUGCUGUUCUGCUGUCAUCCUACCUCACUUGAAGAUCUGGUUCUGUUCAGAAAGUCCUUCUGGUUUUCAGCCAUUCUCCACUUAGAGUGGGGGCUUUCUUUGUGGACGUCGAAUGGGAUUUUCCAUAAGUCUAAGAAGAUUAAAAUGGUGAACGAGAAUUACUUUGGUAAGGCACUGGUGUGAGAGAAAUGAAAAUGAGUAGAACCUGGUCCUUCCUCACAGAAAUUACAGUGCUGAAGCAAGUAUGAAGGAGAUGCACGAUCAAGCCACAGCUGGGUUUAAGAGAUGCAGAUGCUGUGCCAAGAACUGAUGAGAAAGCCUUUUCCAAUAGGGAACCAGGACUGGCACUCAAAUUAAAAUGUGAGAGCUUCUCUUUCUUUUUCUGCAUGACCCCUUCCCUCCUCACAAAGAAAGAGAAAAAUACUUUUUCCUUAAUUCUACUGAUCAGAGGGAGACAGAAGUUUUCUUUUAAACCACAUCAUAAGCAGGGCAGCUGGUAACUCUUGCACACCUCCCGGGGAAACUGAGCAUUGUGCUCCCAAGGCUCCCAAGGCGAUAGCUGUGCAAAGCAGGGGUGGCUGCAUUGUAUAGGGCUUCACAACAACCAUUACAGUCUAGGCUUUGGCUGUGAGGGAAUAUUUAAAACUUUUGGUUGCCAAAAGUGAUGAACUACUUUCAUGUAGUCAUGGAAAACAAUUGUUGGAGGCUGGCAGAACCAAAUCUUGAAAAUUUUGUACAUUCUUUUCUUUUCCUGAGUUCAACCCUUUGCCCCUUAUUUGACAGUUUCUAUGUACAGAACAGGUUAAGCAUUGCCUUGGGUAAAUGAAUAUGCAAACAGAGGGUACACAGAAGCAUUAUCCAUCUGUGACAUGAGCAAGGCUUUUGCAUAUUAGUACAGAUCUCAAUGAGCAGCAAGAGGGUUGUUUGUGCUUGGGUUAUGCUUGCUGUGUUCCAAAACUAAGGUGAAAUCUGGCCUCAGAUCCCUGAGGUCUAACUAAUGCAGUAAUGAACUGAGACAGCUUGUUAGGCAUCGUUUCCACCAAAUUCCCAGGCUGUUCUGUUCUGAGAAGAUAUUUUCUAAGUUGAAAAUGGCGUAAAUGUAAUGGGCCCCACUCAGAAAUAACAGAUCUUAUUGUAAAGUCAUCUAGAAAUGAAUGGAGCUGGUGAUGCCUUAAAAUAUUCCUGUUCCUAAAGUUAUAUUCAAGAGUCUUAUUGUCAAGGAAACAUGAUGGGCUUAUUGAAUACCCUGUAGAAUACUAUACAUGAAGUUCUUGCUUUAAUGCAGUUUUUCUAUUUAAUCUGAGUUGUAUAUAUGCUGUUGCAGCUUCAAAACAUCUGGGUACAGCAAUUUUUUUUUUCUAUCCUGCACCUGCAAGAGUAAGUACACACAUAAACGAAAAAGAAAUUAAAUCUUCUGCAGAACUGGGGAGAAAAAGAACUCAACCAGCCAUGAAGCUCAGGGGAGCAGUAUGACAAGUGCUGAGCUGUAAACAAGCUUGAGAGGGAUUUAAUUCUUCUGACAAGUGCCAGUGGUGGCAUUUCACAUGGACUUAGCAUAUGCACACAUUUCAGAGAGGAGCCACACAGGAUUUAAUGCAAAUAGAAGAGAAGAAAAAAAAGCUCUCAGUGCCUCAGCAGCUCCUUGUCUAUAAAUAGCCAAGCAAAUCAGGAGAAGCUAGUGUUGUAAUUAUCUUGAUUUUCAGAAUUUUUGCCACUCAGAAGAGAUUUUUAGAGUCUCCUCCCUGCUCUUCAUAAUUAUAGCGGUUGUUCCAACCUCUGCCAAGGGUUGGUGGUUGCAGUGUGAUAUUCACCAGGUGGCUGCUCUGCAGCAGAGAAAACUACCCAGUUUCCUACAUUGGUCUGGUUUUGUCAUUUAGGAUCCAAAUCAAGACUUCAGAGAGCAACCAUUCAUCAUCUUGUGACAGCUGCUUCUUCACUUUUGAUUGUACCUUCUAGACUCUGGUGCUGUGGGGCCUUUCUGCACUUGAGUGACAUGACUAAGAUACCAGAGGAGCUGUGCAGACAGUUCAAUCAGGAAAAGAGGGGAAGCCAAUCCUGUAGUAGCCCAGAAACUGGACCCCUUCCAAAUGCAGAAUACCAUGCUUGCUGAUCCAUAAUCUCUUGGCAUGUUCAAGAACUACAGUGGAGGGUGGGGCAAGGGCAGGAGAGUGAUUAUUAAGAUUAGGUAGGUGAGCUGAGAAAUUCUUUUUGCUUACCUAAUAUCCUUCUCCUACCUCAAGUGAGCACACUGUAGUUCACAAGCUAAAUCUAGCCUAUAGGCUGUUUUUAUAGUUGUGUCAGAACAUAGCCUCAAUGUGUAUCCCUUAUGGCUGCUUUCAUGUAACACCGGCAGGACCAAGCAGUUGCAACACUUUUUGGCAUAUGUACCAUCUGGAAUUUUACAGAACAGUUUUGCUGACCCAUCCCUUAUAUUUAACAGAACGUCAUGAUUAUGGCAGCCAUGUACCAGUUUUUAAAAAAUCACUUUCUUGAAGCUGGGGGCUAGCCACCGGAUCCAGUUACGUCUUAUGAAAUACAAGAGCAAGUAAGUUGGGUGAGGUUUUCAGGAAAAUGAUUGUUUUCCUCCUAAAACUGGCAUGACCAUGGCACUUUUUCUUUCCUCCUCUGUGCAUGGCUGUGGUAACACUUGUGUAGUGUUCCCACUGAUGUUCACACUGAUGUGCACUUCCCAUUGAUGUAGCAUGAUAGCUCCCUCAUGACUAUGAAGAAUAAAAGUUAUAUUUUAAGGAUAUAAGUGGGAAUGUGGAUUUUCAAUGGCUUUCUUGAGUGGUUGCUUUCAUCUUGGACUGGUUAGUCCUGAACAGAUUAUAGUCCACACAUUGAGCCACCUAACUGGAUUUGUAUAACUCGCAAGCAAAUCGAAUCCUAAGAAGGGAAUUGUGAAGACACAUGAGCUUGGCAUAGAAGUCAAGAAGGAAUUGCAGUCCCUGCUGGCUCCUUCAGAUUCCCCACCAGCACUCAUGGAGGGCAAAGGAAUCCCACCCACACCCUGGGAAGAGUGGCAGGGCCUGUCGAUUCUAAUGGGUACCCACAUACACAGGAGUCUAUGGACUCCUGCCUGAGAGUGAAGAGCCUAGAGCUUCUCUGCUAGUAACUCCCAUCUCCUGCAGACUCCACAGUCAGUGUGUGGAGGCAAUUGUAGGCCCCAGAGGACCCCCACAAGAACAUGAGCUCACUUCUGACUCAGAGGUCCCUCACUUGCCAGUGAACCUGGCUGCCAAUUCCUUCAUUGUGCUUGGGGGUUGGAAGGGAGUACUUCCUAACCCAAGAAAUGGGACAGCAUCAGACUCUGCCUGCAAGUUGGAAGAAUGAAGUCCUGAGAUUGGGUUAGCCUCAGUCUUGGAGUGGAAGAGUCAGAGGUGAUAUUGAUGUGUCUGCAUGGCAAUACACUGCCAUCAGCACAAGAAGGGAAUGAUGUGAACACCCAGGCUUUCUGGCAAAGUGGUCAUGUGUGAAGCACAUAUUCACUCUCUUGUUGGAGUAUUUGAAUUGAGCUCCUGUCAGAUAUUUCCUCUGACUUUUUCUUCUAUUUGCUUUGAUCUAGUUGGUAUCUAUGUUCUAUCCCUCUUCUCAUCUCCCUCACUAGUUUCUUUUCCUCAGUCUCCCAUAGCAAUAUCAUUAUUUUAUUUCUUAUUUCUUUUUCCCACUUUUUUUUUGUUGUUGUUGUUACCAGGGAUUGAACUCAG